CAGUCGCCGCGGUAAUACGUAGGGUGCGAGCGUUAAUCGGAAUUACUGGGCGUAAAGCGUGCGCAGGCGGUUGUGUAAGACAGGUGUGAAAUCCCCGGGCUUAACCCGGGGACUGCGCUUGUGACUGCACAGCUAGAGUAUGGCAGAGGGGGGUGGAAUUCCACGUGUAGCAGUGAAAUGCGUAGAGAUGUGGAGGAACACCGAUGGCGAAGGCAGCCCCCUGGGCCAAUACUGACGCUCAUGCACGAAAGCGUGGGGAGCAAACAGGAUUAGAUACCCGAGUAGUCCCUGUCUCUUAUAC
RNAcentral lists this ribosomal RNA (301 nucleotides) under uncultured bacterium. RNAcentral describes it as "partial 16S ribosomal RNA". It matches the Rfam family "Bacterial small subunit ribosomal RNA", at positions 509 to 807 of the family's 1533-position model. The record is from RNAcentral.